GCCAGGCGUGGUGGUGUGCGCCUGUAAUCCCAGCUACUUCGGAGGCUGAGGUGUGAGAAUUGCUUGAACCCAGGAGGCGGAGGUUGCAGUGAGCCGAGAUAGCGCCACUGCACUCCAGCCUGGGCAACAGAGCAAGACUGCGUCUCAA
This 148-nucleotide non-coding RNA is filed under the name Nomascus leucogenys (northern white-cheeked gibbon). Lineage: Eukaryota; Metazoa; Chordata; Mammalia; Primates; Hylobatidae. The record is from Rfam by way of RNAcentral.